GGAAGGGUGGCCGAGUGGUUUAAGGCGCAUGCUUGGAAAGCAUGUACUCGUUUUCACGGGUCGAGGGUUCGAAUCCCUCUCCUUCCG
This 87-nucleotide transfer RNA is filed under the name Parcubacteria group bacterium QH_9_35_7. RNAcentral's name for it is "tRNA-Ser". It matches the Rfam family "tRNA". Rfam says of the family: Transfer RNA (tRNA) molecules are approximately 80 nucleotides in length. The record is from RNAcentral.